UAAAAAAUCCUGGGUUAUUUUUUCUACCCAAGUGCUGGGUUGAGCCAUUUGGGUAAAUUUUUUGGGUUAUUUUCUCAGUCUUGGGUAGUUUUUGGGUAGUUCUAUGUAACCCAACCGCUGGGUUAUUUUCUGGGUCGUUUUCACUGAGAGCUGAAUCAAUGCACCCCCUCCCCCACUCGGACGCAAUAACCCAGCUCAUUGGGUCAAAUCAACUCCGCGCAGGAUCAGCGCUGCGCGGGCUGACUGAAUUCGAGGUGGAGGUGGAUGCCACACACACGCUGUAAUAUUUGGAGAAAUAAGACCUGCUAUUGACUGUCCGUGGUGGCAAAUCCACAGCCUUUAGCUGGAGUAGAAUCAACCGUAUCUGAAGAGAGAGCUGAGGAAAUUAAACAAUGGCUGAGAAACAACACACAGCCCAUCAGCCAGGUGGAACAGUACAUCUGAAAAAUAUGUUUGAGGUCCUCCAUGAGUUUCCUCGGCUAACUACCUCAGGCAUGAUUGCACAGGACUUUCACAUUUUACAUUAAGAUGAAAACUGUUUGAAAAAUGGCUGGUAUACUGACAGGAUCUUGCUUUUUGUGAGCGAGAAGCAAAGCUUUCAUGUACAGCUGAAGAAAUGACAGAAGAUGCAAAGGGAAAUCUUGCACUAAAGCUAUUACCUGUUUUGCUUCUACCUCCACCCUACAAAUUUGGCAGAAAAACAGUCCGACCCAGCAUUGAUGAAAGCAAAAAAGCUUUCAUUGACAUUCAGCCUGUUGGAACAAAUAUGGUGGAGUACCUCCAGCAGGCUGAAGCAUCAAGACCUUACCCAUAUGUCCUGUAACUUGAAAAUGGACACAUUGCGUCGCGGGCAUUUGUCAUCCUCGCAGGAGAAGCUUUGGAACAAAGAACUAUUGUUUAAGGGGAAGUCAUGGCCUAAUGGUUAGAGAGUUGGACUCGCAAUUUAAGGGUUGUGUGUUCGAGUCUCGGGCCGACAGGAAUUGUAGGUGAGAGGAGUGAAUGUAUAGUGCUCUCUUCCACCCUCAAUACCACGACUUAGGUGCCCUUGAGCAAGGCAUCAAAC
This is a long non-coding RNA of Carassius auratus (goldfish), 1063 nucleotides long. RefSeq lists it as uncharacterized. Lineage: Eukaryota; Metazoa; Chordata; Actinopteri; Cypriniformes; Cyprinidae. The transcript has 6 exons. The record is from RefSeq and is a predicted model, not a curated record.